RNAcentral lists this ribosomal RNA (429 nucleotides) under Acidobacteriota bacterium. RNAcentral describes it as "Acidobacteria bacterium partial 16S ribosomal RNA". It matches the Rfam family "Bacterial small subunit ribosomal RNA", at positions 355 to 776 of the family's 1533-position model. Lineage: Bacteria; Pseudomonadati; Acidobacteriota. The record is from RNAcentral.
UGGGGAAUUUUGGACAAUGGGGGAAACCCUGAUCCAGCCAUCCCGCGUGUGCGAUGAAGGCCUUCGGGUUGUAAAGCACUUUUGGCAGGAAAGAAACGUCAUGGGUUAAUACCCCGUGAAACUGACGGUACCUGCAGAAUAAGCACCGGCUAACUACGUGCCAGCAGCCGCGGUAAUACGUAGGGUGCAAGCGUUAAUCGGAAUUACUGGGCGUAAAGCGUGCGCAGGCGGUUCGGAAAGAAAGAUGUGAAAUCCCGGAGCUCAACUUUGGAACUGCAUUUUUAACUACCGGGCUAGAGUGUGUCAGAGGAAAGUGGAAUUCCGCGUGUAGCAGUGAAAUGCGUAGAUAUGCGGAGGAACACCGAUGGCGAAGGCAGCCUCCUGGGAUAACACUGACGCUCAUGCACGAAAGCGUGGGGAGCAAACAGG